RNAcentral lists this unclassified non-coding RNA (631 nucleotides) under Yarrowia lipolytica. Lineage: Eukaryota; Fungi; Ascomycota; Dipodascomycetes; Dipodascales. The record is from RNAcentral.
CCUGACUUGGUACGUACUACAGGACAUUAGCCAUUGCUGGAUCACCAUUAAUUCAGCAGCUCAGCUCCUACUUGUAGUUGACCCAUGACAGCUCCGGAAUGAGUUUCCAUCGACUCACUCUGUCCUGGUCAACUCGACAGCUACCACCGAAAGACCACUGCGUAUCCAAGGCGACUCGUACUGCCAUCACCAAGUGAGGGAACUUGAACUCCCGUGACAACCACCGAGGUUACCACCCUCAUUUCUUCCUACUCGACUAACAUGUCUCCUCGUGGAGCAUGGUCCUGACUCUCACCAGAACCAAGGGCAACGUCACACAGCCGGUGGCAGGAGAUGACAAUAGUAACACGCUGUCCAAGUGGAAAUAGCAUCCCAGAAGACACUCGGAAACGGUGAACCAAGACCGCAAACCACUCUUGCCGAUGAUUCAAGAAGAGCCGCUUUUGACCACUUGUUUGUCCCGACUCAUGCUGUUGCUCAAGACGGAAUAUGAAAACACCGAAUUACACGACCAUACUCCACAGACCAGGGUACAUACUUGUACUAUUUAUGAGCAAAUCUGAAGUCUGGAAUAUAAAACUGUCCAUGUCAUUAAGACAUUCGACAUCUGUAAGCUACGUUCAUCUUUCCA